Molecule: ribosomal RNA, 454 nt
Filed under: uncultured bacterium
Lineage: Bacteria
Description: bacterial SSU rRNA
Rfam family: Bacterial small subunit ribosomal RNA
Source: RNAcentral
UACGGGAGCAGCAGUGGGGAAUAUUGCACAAUGGGCGAAAGCCUGAUGCAGCUAUGCCGCGUGUAUGAAGAAGGCCUUAGGGUUGUAAAGUACUUUCAUCGGGGAGGAAAAACAAAACUAAUAAUUUUAUUUCUUGACGUUACCCGAAAAAGAAGCACCGGCUAACUCCGUGCCAGCAGCCGCGGUAAUACGGAGGGUGCUAGCGUUAAUCAGAAUUACUGGGCGUAAAGAGCACGUAGGUGGUUUUUUUAAGUCAGAUGUGAAAUCCCUGGGCUUAACCUAGGAACUGCAUUUUGAAACUGAAAUACUAGAGUAUCGUAGAGGGAGGUAGAAUUCUAGGUGUAGCGGUGAAAUGCGUAGAUAUCUGGAGGAAUACCUGUGGCGAAAGCGGCCUCCUAAACGAAUACUGACACUGAGGUGCGAAAGCGUGGGGAGCAAACAGGGAUUAGAUACC